Molecule: non-coding RNA, 205 nt
Organism: Oryza glumipatula
Lineage: Eukaryota; Viridiplantae; Streptophyta; Magnoliopsida; Poales; Poaceae
Source: Rfam
UUAAAAGGCAAACUCUGGUUUUCGUAUCCAAGUUUAACUAUCCAUCUUAUAUGAAAUUUUUUUAUAAUUCGUAUUUUCAUUAUUGUUAGAUGAUAAAACAUGAUUAAUAUUUUAUGUGUAACUUGUAUUUUUAAAUUAUUUUAUAAUUUUUUUAAAUAAGACGGACGGUCAAAUGUUGGACACGGAAAUCAGGGUUGGUGUUUUU